UUUUUUCGGUAGUACGAACUUUCUAAAUUGUGCUGGAACUGCAUUAAAAUGCAUUGAGACAUAUAUAUGAUUUUUAUAAGUUUUGACACUGUGCAUUUGAUUUAAUAAGAUAAUUUCUUACGAAAUUUAUUUAAGAGAUUUAUUGUGUAAUUCUUUACAAAUACAAUAAGAAAAUGAAGAGAGAAGAAAACAUCGGCAGCGAUAUUUCAACGAAGUCGACUUCCAACAAAGUUCUAGGAGCAUAUCAUAAAUCAGUUGACUAUAGUCUCUUUAAGCGUCACUUCAGAUGUGGCACAAUAUGUCCUAUCCUGAAGCGUAUUUCUAAUGGAGAUUGCGAAGAUAUUUUUUCAAGUGCCGGCGUACAUAUUGCGAGGCAACGGUUUACACUUGUAAAGAAACUACCAGUGCCAGCAAAUGACUCGGAAACUAAAGACUCUGAUAAAAAUUUGAAAUCUUAUAAAACACCCUCACUUAUUCUUAAAAAGAGUAAUAGUAAUACAAUUGUCAAAUCACAGUCUAUGGAACUUUUGACUGCCUCUAAGGAUUCUAUAAACUCCUCAAAUCUUUAAUAAUAAAUCGUUAGAGCACAGAGUCAAACUUCAAAUAGUCGAUAUUCAUUAUAGUACUAAGGACAGCAGUGUAACUGUAGUGAUUGAAAGUCAUUACAAGAUGUUGAAGGAAUGAACCAUAUAUCACUACUGAUGAAUGCAGCGGCAUGCCUCAUACUAGUACAAACAAACCAAAUAGAAAACAGGGAACAGGGAACAGAACUGACACCAUGGAUGACAGGAGUUGUUUGCUUGACUCGAAAUCUAGUCUCAGAUCAUGAUAUUCACAUGAAAAAACGCAAAUUUAAUUCAAGUAAAAUACAAGUUAGGGGAAAUACUAUAAUCUGGUUUCAAGUUCCAAGUUCCUAUAUUUAAAAGCACAAUUGUGCGAAAUUGAUAUUUUAUAAACUAUUUGGACAAUAAAUGUAUUACUAACCAGCAA
Molecule: long non-coding RNA, 990 nt
Organism: Teleopsis dalmanni
Lineage: Eukaryota; Metazoa; Arthropoda; Insecta; Diptera; Diopsidae
Exons: 2
Source: RefSeq, a predicted model, not a curated record